GACGAACGCUGGCGGCGUGCCUAAUACAUGCAAGUCGAACGCUUCGUUCAUCCCGAGUCCUUGCACUCCAUUGGCAGUGGGAGUCGCGGACGUGUGAGUAACACAUGGGUAACCUACCCAUCAGGGGGGGAUCACACUUGGAAACAGGUUCUAAUACCGCAUAACAGUUUAUUCCGCAUGACUUAAUAGUGAAAUGCACUUUCAGCUGUCGCUGAUGGAUGGACCUGCGAUGACUUAGCUAGUUGGGUAGGUAACGGCUCACCAAGGCCACGAUGCAUAGCCGACCUGAGAGGGUGAUCGGACACACUGGGACUGCGACACGGCCCAGACUCCUACGGGAGGCAGCAGUAGGGAAUCUUCGGCAAUGGACGAAAGUCUGACCGAGCAACGCCGCGUGAGUGAAGAAGGUUUUCGGAUCGUAAAACUCUGUUGUUAGAGAAGAACAAGGACGUUAGUAACUGAACGUCCCCUGACGGUAUCUAACCAGAAAGCCACGGCUAACUACGUG
RNAcentral lists this ribosomal RNA (508 nucleotides) under uncultured bacterium. Its description in RNAcentral is "partial 16S ribosomal RNA". It matches the Rfam family "Bacterial small subunit ribosomal RNA", at positions 28 to 507 of the family's 1533-position model. The record is from RNAcentral.